This 253-nucleotide ribosomal RNA is filed under the name uncultured bacterium. Its description in RNAcentral is "partial 16S ribosomal RNA". It matches the Rfam family "Bacterial small subunit ribosomal RNA", at positions 524 to 776 of the family's 1533-position model. The record is from RNAcentral.
UACGUAGGGUGCGAGCGUUGUCCGGAAUUACUGGGCGUAAAGAGCUCGUAGGUGGUUUGUCGCGUUGUCCGUGAAAACUCACAGCUCAACUGUGGGCGUGCGGGCGAUACGGGCAGACUGGAGUACUGCAGGGGAGACUGGAAUUCCUGGUGUAGCGGUGGAAUGCGCAGAUAUCAGGAGGAACACCAGUGGCGAAGGCGGCGAUCUGGGAAGAUACUGACGCUGAGGUGCGAAAGCGUGGGGAGCAAACAGG